Molecule: ribosomal RNA, 510 nt
Filed under: Triticum aestivum (bread wheat)
Lineage: Eukaryota; Viridiplantae; Streptophyta; Magnoliopsida; Poales; Poaceae
Description: partial small subunit ribosomal RNA
Source: RNAcentral
AUGGGGAAGGCCCCCGGAUUUGGCCUGAUCUUCACGCUAGGAAAGGAUAACUUGCUUUGCCUGAUGAACCAAAUGUUUGUCAUUGGAAGGACGAAGGACAAAGAAAAAAUGGCAGAUCUUCAGAAAGAGGUAGACAUGUAUCAUGACUUUUUGUUUAUUGAUGCUGAUGAGGGUACAAAGCCCCCAGAGAAGAUGUUAGCAUAUUUCAAAGCAGCUUAUGACAUGUUCCACGCAGAAUUUUACGUCAAAGCUGAUGAUACUAUCUAUCUGCGCCCAGAUAGACUUGCUGCUCUCCUUGCAAAGGACCGACUUCAUCACCGGACUUAUAUUGGUUGCAUGAAGAAGGGACCGGUUGUCAGUGAUCCGAAUAUGAAAUGGUAUGAAAGUUCAUAUGGAUUAUUAGGUAAUGAGUACUUCAUGCAUGCAUCUGGUUCACUGUAUGCUCUUUCUUCAGAAGUGGUGGGAGCUAUAGCUACUACAAACAAUGAUAGUUCUAGCGUGUUGCAGUAG